Molecule: transfer RNA, 77 nt
Filed under: Verrucomicrobiales bacterium
Lineage: Bacteria; Pseudomonadati; Verrucomicrobiota; Verrucomicrobiia; Verrucomicrobiales
Also listed under: 2 other names
Description: tRNA-Lys
Rfam family: tRNA
About the family: Transfer RNA (tRNA) molecules are approximately 80 nucleotides in length.
Source: RNAcentral
GGGUUGGUAGCUCAGCACGGUAGAGCAGCGGCCUUUUAAGCCGUUGGUCCCGGGUUCGAGUCCCGGCCAACCCACCA